CAAUAGCGUAUAUUAAAGUUGUUGCAGUUAAAAAGCUCGUAGUUGGACCUUGGACCUGGACAGGCGGUCCGCCUCACGGCGAGUACUGUCUUGCUGGGUCUUUCCUCUUGGUGAUCUGUUGUUUCGGCAGCAGGGAACCAGGACCUUUACUUUGAAAAAAUUAGAGUGUUCAAAGCAGGCUCGACGCCGGAAUAUAUUAGCAUGGAAUAAUAAAAUAGGACGUGCGGUUCUAUUUUGUUGGCUUUUGGAAUCGCCGUAAUGAUUAAUAGGGACAGUCGGGGGCAUUAGUACUCACAUGCUAGAGGUGAAAUUCUUGGAUUUUGUGAAGACUAGCUUCUGCGAAAGCAUUUGACAAGGAUGUUUUCAUUAA
Molecule: ribosomal RNA, 370 nt
Filed under: uncultured eukaryote
Lineage: Eukaryota
Description: partial 18S ribosomal RNA
Rfam family: Eukaryotic small subunit ribosomal RNA
Source: RNAcentral